AACUGAAAUGUGCCAAAAGUGCCUCCAUGAGCUCUGCUUCAUCCAGGCUAAUGGCUCAAAGCAGCAGGAUCUGCUCUCCAGCCAGCCAGGCAGCAAGCCAGUCAGACGUUUAAUCAGACAUCCAGCUUUUCCGUCAGGCAUCCAGCCAUACAGGCAGCCAGCAUACCUAUCAGUCAUCUAACCUGCUCCAGUUUGACUCCAACUUCAGUCAGCCAGCCAGUUAGCCAGGGAGAUGGUUUUCAGAUCAUCGGAUUUCCGUGCAGUGUCACCUGAAGUUCACCUGCAGCUUGUGAAGUUCUCCUCUGGCUGCUCUCUGCACAGCUUUACCGUCCAAGUCUCGGUCAGUGCAAAUUGUUGAUGGGU
Long non-coding RNA from Thunnus maccoyii (southern bluefin tuna), 363 nucleotides. RefSeq lists it as uncharacterized. The transcript has 3 exons. The record is from RefSeq and is a predicted model, not a curated record. Lineage: Eukaryota; Metazoa; Chordata; Actinopteri; Scombriformes; Scombridae.